RNAcentral lists this ribosomal RNA (496 nucleotides) under marine sediment bacterium ISA-7197. RNAcentral describes it as "bacterial SSU rRNA". It matches the Rfam family "Bacterial small subunit ribosomal RNA", at positions 37 to 513 of the family's 1533-position model. The record is from RNAcentral.
UGGCGGCGUGCCUAAUACAUGCAAGUCGAGCGAAUGGAUUAAGAGCUUGCUCUUAUGAAGUUAGCGGCGGACGGGUGAGUAACACGUGGGUAACCUGCCCAUAAGACUGGGAUAACUCCGGGAAACCGGGGCUAAUACCGGAUAACAUUUUGAACCGCAUGGUUCGAAAUUGAAAGGCGGCUUCGGCUGUCACUUAUGGAUGGACCCGCGUCGCAUUAGCUAGUUGGUGAGGUAACGGCUCACCAAGGCAACGAUGCGUAGCCGACCUGAGAGGGUGAUCGGCCACACUGGGACUGAGACACGGCCCAGACUCCUACGGGAGGCAGCAGUAGGGAAUCUUCCGUAAUGGACGAAAGUCUGACGGAGCAACGCCGCGUGAGUGAUGAAGGCUUUCGGGUCGUAAAACUCUGUUGUUAGGGAAGAACAAGUGCUAGUUGAAUAAGCUGGCACCUUGACGGUACCUAACCAGAAAGCCACGGCUAACUACGUGCCAGCA